RNAcentral lists this unclassified non-coding RNA (220 nucleotides) under rhizosphere metagenome. Its description in RNAcentral is "partial ribosomal RNA internal transcribed spacer region". The record is from RNAcentral.
GUAGGUGAACCUGCGGAAGGAUCAUUAAUGAAUAAAGAACUAGGGAUUGCGCUUAGCUCUGCCCGAAUCAUCGGCUUCACGGCCGGUGAUAGUUCCAUCAUAUCCAUAACACCUGUGCACUGUUGGAUGCUUGCAUCCACUUUUAAACUAAACAUUAUUGUAACAAAUGUAGUCUUAUUAUAACAUAAUAAAACUUUCAACAACGGAUCUCUUGGCUCUC